This 380-nucleotide ribosomal RNA is filed under the name uncultured bacterium. RNAcentral describes it as "bacterial SSU rRNA". It matches the Rfam family "Bacterial small subunit ribosomal RNA", at positions 518 to 898 of the family's 1533-position model. The record is from RNAcentral.
CGGUAAUACGUAGGGUGCAAGCGUUAAUCGGAAUUACUGGGCGUAAAGCGUGCGCAGGCGGUGAUGUAAGACAGGUGUGAAAUCUCCGGGCUUAACCUGGGAACUGCAUUUGUGGUUGCAUCGCUGGAGUGCGGCAGAGAGGGAUGGAAUUCCGCGUGUAGCAGUGAAAUGCGUAGAUAUGCGGAGGAACACCGAUGGCGAAGGCAAUCUCCUGGACCUGCACUGACGCUCAUGCACGGGAGCGUGGGGAGCAAACAGGAUUAGAUACCCCGGUAGUCCACGCCCUAAACGAUGUCAACUGGUUGUUGGGUCUUCACUGACUCAGUAACGAAGCUAACGCGUGAAGUUGACCGCCUGGGGAGUACGGCCGCAAGGUUGAA